RNAcentral lists this unclassified non-coding RNA (228 nucleotides) under plant metagenome. Its description in RNAcentral is "partial contains small subunit ribosomal RNA, internal transcribed spacer 1, and 5.8S ribosomal RNA". The record is from RNAcentral.
UUUCCGUAGGUGAACCUGCGGAAGGAUCAUCACAGUGUUCCCUGCCCUUCGGGGUAGGAUCGCCACCCUUGAUUAUUUAUGAGUGUUGCUUUGGCGGGCCUCGCGGCCUGGCCGCGCCCCGGCUUCGGCGGGGGAGCGCCCGCCAGAGGAUUCUACAAACCUGAUUAUUAGUGUCGUCUGAGUACUAUAUAAUAGUUAAAACUUUCAACAACGGAUCUCUUGGUUCUG